RNAcentral lists this ribosomal RNA (506 nucleotides) under uncultured bacterium. RNAcentral describes it as "partial 16S ribosomal RNA". It matches the Rfam family "Bacterial small subunit ribosomal RNA", at positions 30 to 523 of the family's 1533-position model. The record is from RNAcentral.
AUUGAACGCUGGCGGCAGGCCUAACACAUGCAAGUCGAACGGCAGCACAGAAGAGCUUGCUCUUUGGGUGGCGAGUGGCGGACGGGUGAGUAAUAUCUGGGAAACUGCCCGAUGGAGGGGGAUAACUACUGGAAACGGUAGCUAAUACCGCAUAACGUCGCGAGACCAAAGUGGGGGACCUUCGGGCCUCACACCAUCGGAUGUGCCCAGAUGGGAUUAGCUAGUAGGUGGGGUAAUGGCUCACCUAGGCGACGAUCCCUAGCAGGUCUGAGAGGAUGACCAGCCACACUGGAACUGAGACACGGUCCAGACUCCUACGGGAGGCAGCAGUGGGGAAUAUUGCACAAUGGGCGCAAGCCUGAUGCAGCCAUGCCGCGUGUAUGAAGAAGGCCUUCGGGUUGUAAAGUACUUUCAGCGGGGAGGAAGGCGGUGAGGUUAAUAACCUUGCCGAUUGACGUUACCCGCAGAAGAAGCACCGGCUAACUCCGUGCCAGCAGCCGCCGUAA